CAGUAGCGGCGAGCGAACGGGGAGGAGCCCAGAGCCUGAAUCAGUGUGUGUGUUAGUGGAAGCGUCUGGAAAGGCGCGCGAUACAGGGUGACAGCCCCGUACACAAAAAUGCACAUGCUGUGAGCUCGAUGAGUAGGGCGGGACACGUGGUAUCCUGUCUGAAUAUGGGGGGACCAUCCUCCAAGGCUAAAUACUCCUGACUGACCGAUAGUGAACCAGUACCGUGAGGGAAAGGCGAAAAGAACCCCGGCGAGGGGAGUGAAAAAGAACCUGAAACCGUGUACGUACAAGCAGUGGGAGCACGCUUAGGCGUGUGACUGCGUACCUUUUGUAUAAUGGGUCAGCGACUUAUAUUCUGUAGCAAGGUUAACCGAAUAGGGGAGCCGAAGGGAAACCGAGUCUUAACUGGGCGUUAAGUUGCAGGGUAUAGACCCGAAACCCGGUGAUCUAGCCAUGGGCAGGUUGAAGGUUGGGUAACACUAACUGGAGGACCGAACCGACUAAUGUUGAAAAAUUAGCGGAUGACUUGUGGCUGGGGGUGAAAGGCCAAUCAAACCGGGAGAUAGCUGGUUCUCCCCGAAAGCUAUUUAGGUAGCGCCUCGUGAAUUCAUCUCCGGGGGUAGAGCACUGUUUCGGCAAGGGGGUCAUCCCGACUUACCAACCCGAUGCAAACUGCGAAUACCGGAGAAUGUUAUCACGGGAGACACACGGCGGGUGCUAACGUCCGUCGUGAAGAGGGAAACAACCCAGACCGCCAGCUAAGGUCCCAAAGUCAUGGUUAAGUGGGAAACGAUGUGGGAAGGCCCAGACAGCCAGGAUGUUGGCUUAGAAGCAGCCAUCAUUUAAAGAAAGCGUAAUAGCUCACUGGUCGAGUCGGCCUGCGCGGAAGAUGUAACGGGGCUAAACCAUGCACCGAAGCUGCGGCAGCGACGCUUAUGCGUUGUUGGGUA
RNAcentral lists this ribosomal RNA (950 nucleotides) under Escherichia coli. RNAcentral describes it as "partial 23S ribosomal RNA". It matches the Rfam family "Bacterial large subunit ribosomal RNA", at positions 241 to 1230 of the family's 2925-position model. The record is from RNAcentral. Lineage: Bacteria; Pseudomonadati; Pseudomonadota; Gammaproteobacteria; Enterobacterales; Enterobacteriaceae.